This is a long non-coding RNA of Bombus pyrosoma, 9315 nucleotides long. RefSeq lists it as uncharacterized. NCBI's taxonomy places the organism in Eukaryota, Metazoa, Arthropoda, Insecta, Hymenoptera, Apidae. The record is from RefSeq and is a predicted model, not a curated record. The transcript is spliced from 8 exons.
AUCACUAGUUCCUACAUGCAAAGUUGGUACGACUACUAACGACGCUCUUCUGUUUUUCCCCGUGCGCCAUGUGUUAAUUGUCAGAGAGUAUGUGGUGUGUUGAAAUGGCUGUACAUCUAUUUAAUAACAAGAUUUGCAUGUUAAACGAAAACGAAAUGUGUUUACAUCUAUAUAAAGAGUGAAAGCUUCAUGGGAAAUACUUAGUAGUAGGUAAGAGAAUGCAAUUCCUGCACAAUACGUCAAAUUACUUUCUACGUAGUAUAAAUGUCACCAGAUAUUAUUUGGACAGUGAGUAGAAAUUUUACAUAAAUAAUUGGAUUUAAGAAUUGAUUAUUUGUAGAAAUAAACAAAGAAUACAACAAAUAAUUCUGUGUACGUAUAUUAGAGAAUUAUUGUUGUCGAUAUUCUCAGAUGUUAAUUGUAUUUAAUGCUUAGAUAUGUAUAUAUAUAUUAUUAAAAUUAGUAAAUUGUUUCUGCGAUAAUCAAAUAAUUUACUCUUUACGUAUAAUAUCUGUAGUUUUUAAAAAUAGGCUUCGAUUAAAUUGUUUUGUCGUUCUUCCUAUGUUAUAGGUAGCUCGUAAUUACUAUGUUACUUAUCCACUUGCUAUUAGCGAUUUACGAAAUAGCCAUCUUCCAUUAGUUAGAUCGCAACAUAUCCUGUGGCUAUCAAAUACUUAUCUGUGAAUAAAAGUAUUAUAUUUUAUUGUAACGUGAUAUUACGAAUCAGCUAACUUCAAAUUUACUAAACACGUAAGCAGUGGAUAAUUUCUCGUCCGUUACAAAUUAUAAUAUUACUAUUUUUGGAAAUUAUUAAAUUUCAGGCAAACUAUUAGGUUGUCCGAAAAGUUUCUUUCGUUUUAUGAAGAAAUAAUAGACGCACAGCGUUUUUUGUUUUAUAUUAUUUUGUCGAAUUACGUAGGAUCUAUUUUGUUACGUUGGGAUAAACACGUUUGCGAAAAAAGGACACUUUUCGGGCAACCUAAUACUUUUCUCUAGCCUAAGUUAUAGCUCUAGCUCUAGCCCAAGUUAUAACAAAAAUACUUCAGCCAUUUGUAAUUAUCGGCUUUAAAUUUCAUCUCAUUAAAACACUUUUGGGAUUUAACGAUGAUUUUUCCCAGGGGAAAAAACUAUAAUCAUCUUAACGAGGCUCUGACAUUGUACAGGCUAUUGAAAAAAAGGCUUUACGGGGAUUAUGGUGGUUAUCGAGGGAAGGAAAAAAAUGUGCAAUCAACACAGCUGCUGCGAUCAAUCCAUUCGACGUAAAAUCCAUUUUUAUCAUUUCAGAACAUUUAAUGUCGCUGUCGAGUUCCUUCGUCGAGCGUAAACAAAGAGAUUGAUUCAGAAGUACGUUGGCUGAAGGCUGUCAACACAAGCAAUCUAUGAUACGUGGACGUGAGCUUUGCAUUGCAAUGGAAGGAAAACAUAUCGAACAUUUGCUGUAACAAAGAAGGUUUUUACUUUGUUUGCCUCUAUGAAGUAAUCUCUGUUGAUAUUAGUAAUGAUUUUGUGUUGACAAUGUUGAGCUAACGCACUUCUCAAUCACUCUUUCUCUGUUUACGUUCGAAGAAGAAACUCGCUCGUGACAUCGAAUGUUUGUAAAUGAUAAAAAUCGAUUUCACGUCGAAAGGAUUGAUCGCAGGACCCACGUCGAUUGGACAUUUUUUGCUCCUCUUGGUGAGUACUAUAAUUCAUGGACCCUUCUUUUGAACACCUUGUACGUUACAAUACAACAACUAGACACCUCACUGUCUAAAAUUGCAAUGGUUUUCUCACGUUGAGAACAAGAAGAUAAUUUGCCAGAUCACCGUGUAUAUCACCACGAGGCUCGGUCAAAUACAAACCGGACUCUGUUGCUAACUUUAUACUUCGGUAAAAUGUUUCAAGAAGAACAACCGACUUAUUUUUUUUACGUAUAUGCCCCGUUUGUUCUAUACACUUUUGCCGUCAGAUUGCUAAGUUUUUCAUUGCAGUUUCACAGAAAGUGGAGAGCUGGGUCAGAAAGCAAUCGCAUGCGAAUUGCUCUACUUCUUCGUUGCGGUUGAAACAUUGCCCUGCUGCUGCCUCUUUCGGUGCUCGUGAUUUUGCGGAUCUCCAACUCUCCGAAUAAUGGAAACCACGCUUCCACGACCAAUAUUUAACUUUCGAGCAAAUUUCGUUGAUCCUCACGCGUCGAUCGUGCUCGAUCGGUUUGCCAACAGCUUCCACGUUUGCUGGCGUUACACUUGUCUCGAGGCGUCGCAGAUAAAAUGUGUUUUCAACGUUUCUUGCUAAUGUUUCAUCCUCAAACCGUAGUCGCGAUCUACGCAAAAUUGCAGUGACCUCUGCGUUCUCAAAUAAAGUAAACUUAAUAAUCGUGCGUCGUGCAACCGAAGACGUACAGUUUCCUCGCUCAUUGCGUUAUCUACCGAUGAAACGACAAACAAAUCAGCACGUGCAGUGGAACGUCAGUGAAACAUUCUUUUUUAUUUGGAAGAAUUUUACAAUCAAUUCUUAUUGAGAAUUAUAAGUAAAUUAUUCUGGCGUGGUACUAUAACGCGAAUAAUAAGUGAUUAUCGUUAUUUAUGUGCUAGACUAGGUUAGCUGCGUAGUAGUGAUACUUGUAUGUGAAUAUCAGUGUGUGGAAGUAUGUGUGUGCGCGGCGUCUCGAAAACAAAGAAAUGUAAACUGUUCAGUUAACAGUCUGGUAUGGAAGAAGGUGAGACGCGUGCAAGUGUGUAUCGAUGAAUAUCUUUGAAAUCCUUUAUCAAAUAAACAUCUGAAUCUAAUGUUUAAAUCUGGAGGGCAAUGCCUUUUUAGCCUGCGCAUCUGAUCCGUCGUGUCAAGUAUAUUUGAACUCUCACGCAGUUCCAUGUGGAUAAUUGACGCUGCGGAGAUGUGCCACACGCGGUCUGGUUGAUAUUUGACCGGCGCUCGUACUACACAGAACGUUUAGGAAUUUCAUGAACACCGUGACGAGACACGACUAUCCUGAUCAUAUUGGUAAAGUUUGAAACGGAUCUGAAAAUGCGUAUACAAGUUAGGAGAUAUGGGGUUAAAGAGAAAGCUGCUUCCAUUUCUCGUAGCGAGAUGCAUCUGGCCAUCGUGAAGCAGUGAAGCUAGAGGCAAACGAGUGGCUGAUAAACGCAAAGGAAUCGGAUGAGAACUGGGACGCAGAGUUUCACGUUAGGACGCAAAUUGUUAAAUUUGUAGUAAAUGAAUUAUUUGUUCACAGGUAUAUGCAGCCCGUGUCGUAAUGGACGCGUCACGAUCCAGCGAGCACCAAUUAAAAAAAAGAGGAGACUUAUUCUCGCGACCGUCGAAGAGUUGGUUAUCAUGUGAAUUAAUGAAAUAGAAAAUUGCCUCUGGACGACGCGCACACAGCUACAAAAUCGGUGCAGGUGCGCCAGCCUGUCUUCCGUUUAAUUUCGAACAUCGACGUGAAAAAUUGGCGCGCGACCUUCUGCCUUGAUUACGUGCCACCCGGAUUCAACCUCUGGCCUCGUCGCGAGGUAAAAAUUCCUCGUUCAUUGGCCCGUAAGGGCUCUUUUCAAAGGGCGCUGCCAGCCUCGUACGAGCAAGGAAAUCUCUUUGAAACUGGUACUGGGCCCCGCUUAAUAUUAAUAGCAGCAUUUGCGGCUCCGUAUGAACGACAUUUAACUAACGAGACGCCUCGAUUCGGUCACCGUGCUUCUUUGCCUUCUUUUUCUCUUCUCACUCCUUUUUCUCUCCACUUCUUUUCUUUUCUUUUUAUUUUAUUUAUUUAAGGUCGCACCUACCUACGAGCGUUAUUUGGCGACUACCGCGGUACACAAACGAACGAUCCGAAUUUUAUGAGAAGCUCGUUUAUCCGAACACUGACUGACAGAAAGAUCUACGAUCGAAACAUCGAGCGAUAUUCUGUAAAUGCGGAGACGUUUCUUUGUAAGAAAAAUUGGAACAGGAAAUUAGAACUGAAGGAAAUUUGUACAGUUCUGUCAAACAAUUGUUAACUCCUGUUUAGAAUUAAUGUUAUGAGGUGGAAGAAUAAAUAAUGUUAAAUCUUGUAUCAAAUAUCGAAUGAUGUCAAAGAAAUAAAUAAUUUCUACCGCGUUAUACAAGAAAUUUGAUAUGUAGAGUGCGCUAAACAUUUAUAAACUUUGGUUUACCUGCAUUAUCGUUAUUAAAUGAUUCGAUCAGGUCACAUUCAUGUCAUACAUCCUGUCAUAUCGUUUAUUCACCGUGGCUAUCGUAAAUAAUAUUUCCGUGUUAUUCCUCAAAAUGUUAUAUCGAUUGAUUAUAUCGAUUAUUUAAUAGAUUGAAGCAUUUCCAGCAGAAUAAUACAGAAAUGGAAACAACUAUCAAACGUUUUAUAAUUAAAAAAUAACUGAAACGAGCCAUCGGUUGGAAAGCAACGUUUAUUAAUUAAAAACUUGACAUGAACUUUAAGCGUGUUGUAAAAUAGUCUUCCCCUGUUCAAUUUUUCCCACUUUUUGAACCGACAUUUACACACAGCUCGAUAGAGAUGUAUUGCUGUUGUACUCGAUCUUCAUAACUCGAUGUCCUAAUUAAAAUAAAAAUCAAGUCGCGCAGAAUUCAUGUUUCUGAACAAUAAGUUCUCAGCGAAUUUAACACGCGUCACUACGAUUCUUUUGAAACGAGCUAUAACGAAAGUGGCGUGGUUUGAUUAAUAAUGGCAGGGUGGUGUUCUAUACAAAAUUUAUUACUGUUGUUUUGCGUUAAUAGAACUUGGCAAUAGGCAACCAGCACGCACAGCUUACGUCGAAAAUUGUAAUUAUCAAGUGAAAAAUACGAGGCUUUGGCCACCACAACGAAUCUUUCGAAGCGAAAAUACGGGAAAGCCAGACUACAAUAACGAACUUGUUAGAAGCUGAACGAUCAAUUUUAAUAAAGAACGGAAUCAAAUUUUCCCUCUGCUCAAUUUUAAAUGAAAUUUCAAGCUUUCUUCUAUUUUCUCACUUAUGCACUGUCAUUCGUAAGCUUUUGGAUACUAAAUGCCAUUGUAGGAAAAUGUUACAUGGAACGAUAUUUUCGUAAUAUUUUCCAAGUUCGAUGCUUAGAAAUCAUUUUUCUACUGUUCAUUGUGUAUCUUCUUGCCAUAUCUCUUGAUCGUGAAGUCGAAUAAGUUAACAUUCAAAUGAAAGUAAGAAAUUUAUGCAUCUGCGUCACUCAAAUUCUAUCUUUGUUUUUAACUUGAUGUUUUAUAAAAUCUAUGCAUAUCGGUGUUCAGAAUGCGACCAGAAAUAUGUAUAUGCCAAUACAAGACAUUGAACAGACACAUUGAAUCAGUUGUCUGUGAACUAACUGAUUAUUGCUGUCUUAUUUAUAAUAAUUAAUAUUAAUUAUCGUUUGUAUUAAUGUUUAGAAUGUAUUAAUGUCAAAAUUAGAUUUUAGAGUUUCCUUUGCAGCCUACUUUAUGCAUAUAUAUGUGCAAUAAUUUGCUAGUGUAAAGAUAUUAGUUGCAAAAUGAAACUUACAUUUAGAGUUUUAUUAAAAAUAAUAUUAGUAAAAGUAUGCUAUAACAAUUUCCAUAUCUUUUGACUAUUUUAAAAAUAACGUUACAAUUACUAUAAUUAAUAUCACUGACUGAUUGUUUUUAGUAAUCGUCAUUAAAGUGAAGAAAGAAACAAUCGAGGCAUAAUUAAGCAGCUACAAGAAAAGAAUAGUAAUAAUAAUAUAUAACAUAACAUAUGCGAGCCUUGUAGGCUGAAAAGAACACAUGUUGCAAACCUAACAAACGAGCAAAUAUCUGCAAAUAACCCAGAUCGACUGAUCUUAAUGAUAAGAACAUUGUCUCAAUGAAGACACCGCUUGUGCUAUUUUAUCACAUUGAAAAAUUGUGCUUAAUGUGAUAAAUGUGUGCUGAUAAAUUGCAAAGUAUAUAUAGUAUAGGAGAUAUAAGAAGAAAAUUUUUUUUAAUAAUUUCUUGGUUUAUUUAAUAGCAGGUCGUUCUUUUUAUUCUUAACUUUUUUCUUCUUUUCGUUUCAUUCUUUCGCUUUACUCUUUUAUUAUUCGGUUUUUCGAAAGUCGUAUUUAUAAUCAAUUUUCAUCGCAUUGUGUCGACGUUAAAAAUCGCGCAAGAACCGAAUAUUAUUCUGAUCUGUAAAUUAUUCCAACGUACAAUUUCCAAUUUUUUCCAACGUACCUUCGAGCUAAAUUAAAUCUUGCUGCUACUAAAUUAAAUUAGCCUCGAACAGAACAAAAUCCACGCUUACUAAACGUUAUCUACUGGCACAUUUACGUAGCCAUUGAGUUCCGAAUGAUUGCAGACUUUCGUCGAGCCAGCUAUUCCUCGCGCGACCAUCCGAUUCAAGCGUCGAUCAACGAUUCGAAUAUCGUGAAUUUUAACGCGAAAGCAUAUUUCCUUUCAACGCGUAAACAAUGUGAAAGAUCGCCGCAGAAGGCGAAAAAAUCUCGAUGAAGAACCGCGACGAGAGAAGAGAAGGGAAGGAACAAUCGGCCUGAAAGAAUACUCGUUCGUCCCCAUUCACGGGAUCAUCGGCGAACAGCGUCAAAUUAAAUUGAUCCCCGACAGCAGGUCCACCUUCGUGCCCAGCAUCGAUCUACGUUUCCAUUGGCGUUCAUCUGUUUUAUUCGUCGAAUCAGCUUGCGCGGUAAGCACGGACAAUGCUCAUAAAUUUUUUCCUGCCGUGGCAGACAUGGCUUCCGUUUCAUUUGCAUUGUCUCAGAGCGCGUAGCUGAGGAGCGUAACCAGGAUGCACACGAUCGAUCGGCGGCACCAUUGUUUCGCUUUAGUGUCGGUAUCAAUCGCGCGGGGCGUUCAUUACGACGGCAUUAACAGGCUUUUCAAAGGGAGAAAACGAUUUCCAGAAAUUGGAAAAAUGACGAAUAAAAAGCCUUCUUCGUUGAAAUGCUGGAUGAAACCUUUGAAAUCGGCGAAUACGAAAGGUCCGUGGUAUUUUAGACCCAUGAGAGCGUAGCAGGACCCAUGCUCUUUUCGAUAGACACAACAGAUCCUUCAGACGCCUUCAUUCAUCUGCAUUAUUCAUCGGAUUACCUUCGCUGAGGACCUCUUGCUUAUCCAGUCUGCCACUGACCAGGAGUCGACCGAGAAAUUACAAGAAACGUAUUUGCUGCGGGACCAAUGUUUACGUAUCGACGUAUGAAAUUCGGGUUACGCCGAGCACAGUUGUUUCUUAUCUUCUUUAAGAAUGUUUAUUUUAUAUUAUUUCUUUCAAUUGCGUGUUUAAGGUGGCGUGCAUCUUUGAAGAUUAUUAGUAUCACGUCAAGAAUGAUCAGGGGCAGAACGAAUCUGUGGCAAGUUGCAUAAACCAAUUUCUUUCAGAAGAUCUAGAGUCUCUUCUCCAUGGAGCCUUUCUUUUGUAGUAUGUUCAGAGUUUCAGACGGAAAUGAUACCCUGUAAGAAGGAGGUAGUCUAUCUGUGAAUAAGUUUGGACAAAGGACUCGCAUAGGAAACAGGAUGUACAUAGUACGAGGCAGAAAGCAAACGAUACGCUAGAUAAAUUCUGGAAAUUCUGCUGGCUCAUUGGAGGAACAUCGCGAUCGAACCGUAAACCUAGUAGGAAGUUGUGAUUGAGACACUAUGGACUUCCGGAAUUGUACUGCAACAGUAGAAGCGGUUAAUCAGGACCAGAGGAACACAAAGCGGUGGAAUAAGAAAAAUACAAAAAGAAAAAAAGUAAAAGGAUAAGAAGAGAUGAGACGGAAAAGGCCAUUGAGCUUAGGUCAGUAGAGGAAGAAGCACGAUGCCGCUGCCACGUAAAAUUAAUGAUAAAAAAAGGAGUAGCUGAGCAAUAGCUUAAGUUGCCUGUGCUUUUAUACUUUUGUGUUGAGGAGCAAGAAGAGGAUCCUGAUUGUCCUACGAAAUGGGGAAAAUGUAAUGUUGGACCAUGUGCGAAGGUCAGGUCAAAGCCUAAUGAUUCACUGUCAGGAACUCGAGGAGAAUUAAAAUGCAACAUCCUUCGAGCAACUAUCAUCCUGCUGCCGAAAAUGGUGGGACGAGAUACCGUACAAAUAAUAAACAACGUGCAAGCUCACUCGAGAACGCCAUAACGACGAAUCUACAUAAAACAAGCAUAAAAGGGCUCUUGUAUCGCGGUUGGACACGAAACACACGGUAUAAUAAAGAAACGAAUCAGGAGAUUGCAGUGGGAAUGAUAGAAAGAGGAGAAGAAGAGAAAAGAAGAGACACGAGAAGGAAGAAACGACGAGGGAAAGGAUUCUGUUGCAGUUCAUAGCGAGUUAGGUGGCGAAGGUUUUAAGGCGAAGGCGACAUGAAGAGACAGGGCGAGCAGUCGGCAGAUGAAAAUUUCGUUCCUUUCACCUACACACACCGACGUCGAGGAAACGACCUCCGAUUGUAAAAACGAUGAAGCAAGACAUUAGCUUUAUGAACUGGAAGAAAAAACAGGAAAGAGAAAGAGAAAGAAAGAGAGAGAAGACCGUGACCACGGAUCUGGACCUUCUCCAAAGCUACAGAAACUGUCGGUCGUGUUGCCGGUUGUUAAAGCCGUACAAAACCAAGAUUUUAAAGUCGCCAACAAAGUGGCGCAAACUGGGACGCAACGAUUUCGGUCUCCGCGUUCGGUCGUUCGUUAUUAACGUUUUCAGGACUUUUCGCUGCAUUCGGUCCUUUAUUCCGUUCUCUCUGCCCUUUCUUCUCUCGCCGACUUUAUCCUCCUCUUUAUCGCUGUCUCUUUGUCUCCCGCGUCGCAUGUGUAUUUUACUGCACGUAAAAACUGAAUCUGUAACGCGUUCAGUGUGGCUGAUACAUGCAACACGCGUAACUUCUUUUUAUGUUUCAUACUCGCCACUUUUAUUUCUUUCCUUUCUUUUCUUCUUCGGGAGUUGGGAGAGAGGGAGGGGAGUGUCUUCGACAGUUUCGUUCCAGCUCGGUGAAAAUUCUUCAAUGCCGCUGCUUCCAGCGAGAGGCCAAUGUUCUGUCGUUUAUCACCCAGCAGAUUCGUACAAAAUUGGGAUACGCAGCUGUCACACGCGUUUAAAACACGCUGCGCGCAUUCCAUUGAUAGAAUUCGCUGUUAAUAAAUCGUUUUAUCCGCGUAUCUCACCUCUACGAACGUUUAAAUGUUAAUUAAGUUGAUCCAACGUGCUCUCGGUUACUCGGUGUCCACUGUUGAAUCGCGAAAUUCAUUAAUUUUUAAGGAAAUACUCGAACUACGUAAUGAGAAUACUUCGAAGAUACUUGGAGAGUAAUUUAACACUAAAACUACCACAGCAGUGAAAAUGACUGGUUCUAUAAUUUUAUAAAUGUGUCAACCCUCGUUUAGGGAUCCCAGAUGGAUUAAUAAUACCAAAAAUGUACUACAUAACAUGAAAUUUCUUCUAUAAGAAAGUAAU